CAAUAGCGUAUAUUAAUGUUGUUGCAGUUAAAAAGCUCGUAGUUGGAUUUCGAAUGGGAGCGGUGGGUCGGGUCCGCAAGGGCUCGUUACCUGUUUCGUCUCCGGUUCUUUUUCGGGAUUUGUUUCUGGCGUGGCUGGCAUUGAGUUGUCGGUGGCGUCGGGCCCGUCGUUUACUGUGAACAAAUUAGAGUGUUCAAAGCAAGGUGUGUCUUGAAUACAUUAGCAUGGAAUAAUGAGAUAGGACUUUGGUGGUUUCGGUGAAAGCCGGAUAUUUUGUUGGUUUGCACGCCAAAGUAAUGAUUAAUAGGGAUAGUUGGGGGCACCUGUAUUGCGUUGUCAGAGGUGAAAUUCUUGGAUUUACGCAAGACAAACAGCUGCGAAAGCGUCUGCCAAGGAUGUUUUCAUUAA
This 408-nucleotide ribosomal RNA is filed under the name uncultured eukaryote. Its description in RNAcentral is "partial 18S ribosomal RNA". It matches the Rfam family "Eukaryotic small subunit ribosomal RNA", at positions 592 to 976 of the family's 1831-position model. The record is from RNAcentral.